UGGUGUGGGAAAGGUCCAACCUCACAUGUCCUGUGUGGCUGAAGGAAGGCUGUGUGAGGUCAGACCUAUCCCACACGG
Molecule: non-coding RNA, 78 nt
Organism: Salmo salar (Atlantic salmon)
Lineage: Eukaryota; Metazoa; Chordata; Actinopteri; Salmoniformes; Salmonidae
Source: Rfam